RNAcentral lists this transfer RNA (69 nucleotides) under Platyplectrum melanopyga (Wokan cannibal frog). RNAcentral's name for it is "tRNA-Pro". It matches the Rfam family "tRNA". From Rfam's summary of the family: Transfer RNA (tRNA) molecules are approximately 80 nucleotides in length. Their secondary structure includes four short double-helical elements and three loops (D, anti-codon, and T loops). Further hydrogen bonds mediate the characteristic L-shaped molecular structure. tRNAs have two regions of fundamental functional importance: the anti-codon, which is responsible for specific mRNA codon recognition, and the 3' end, to which the tRNAs corresponding amino acid is attached (by aminoacyl-tRNA synthetases). tRNAs cope with the degeneracy of the genetic code in two manners: having more than one tRNA (with a specific anti-codon) for a particular amino acid; and 'wobble' base-pairing, i.e. permitting non-standard base-pairing at the 3rd anti-codon position. The record is from RNAcentral. Lineage: Eukaryota; Metazoa; Chordata; Amphibia; Anura; Limnodynastidae.
CAGGAUGUAAUUUAAAAAGAAUGCUGGCUUUGGGAGUCAGUUGCAGAGGUUAAAGUCCUUUCGUCCUGA